AACUGGAAAAAAAGAGACGAUUGGAAUACGCUUUAAAUAGAAAAAAAGAGACGAUUGUAAUACCGCCGCCUUAAUCCGCGAAUAACUAUCUAUAUUUAUAUUGAUCAGUUCUGUUCUCAAUCAACACGAGAACAACGUUGUUGUUUACGCACUAACGAUCGGAACGAAAGCUCUCACUUUCUCACUCGAUCUCGCUCUCUUCUUCUUUGUCAAGCUCUACUUUACAAUCUCUCGUUCUCCCUCUCCCGGCCUCUCACUUUUCUCAUUGUUACUUUUUUUUGUUUUACUCUUUUUUGGUUUGUCUGUGUGGCUAUUUUGUGGUUCUUUGAUUCUUUUUUUAGGUUUUUGUGUCCGUGAUGGAUUCCCCGCCAGGUACUCCGAUUUCAUCACUCUCUCAUACUGUGGCCACUCCGUCACUUCCGUCGGCACCGAAAAAGAAACCCCAACAGUCUAUGGCAAGGUUUUUCCUAUCCGUGAUGGAUUCCCCGCCAGGUACUCCGAUUUCAUCACUCUCUCAUACGGUGGCCACUCCGUCACUUCCGUCGGCACCGAAAAAGAAACCCCAACAGUCUAUGGUUUUUCCUAUCCGUGAUGGAUUCCCCGCCAGGUACUCCGAUUUCAUCACUCUCUCAUACGGUGGCCACUCCGUCACUUCCGUCGGCACCGAAAAAGAAACCCCAACAGUCUAUGGCAAGGUUUAUUCUGCACUCUUUAGAAGAUGUUAGCGAAAUGGUUCAGGAAAUUAUUCUAAGGCGUGAGUACAGCCAAGAAGCAUUGAAUGUCGAGAGAGAAAGAAAAAUGCGCAUUUUGAUGUCACUGCGAUAGUCAUUCAUUGCUUGCGUGAGUAUGAUUCUUGUGUUGGUUGGUAACUUGGUACCACACCCAUUGCUCAUGAGCAGGAACAAUUUUGGCAACAACAGUUGGUCAAUCUAAUCUACUUCAUAUUUGGACAAUCAGUCUAGAAAUGAACAUGUAAGUAGUAUCAUAAUUACUGCAUCUCUUGAAUGUAGAAAAAGGUGAGAAAUUUCUGUGAUUCAAUUGUUUAAUACUCUCAUUCUAGAACCUAUCAAUCUCUUAAAAUUAGUCCGCUUUUUCUUUUAUCUUGAUAUUGUUUAUGUUAUGUCAUGGCCCCUUCUUGUAACAAUUUAUCUCUGCAUAAUGGAUCACACAUUUGAUUGCUUUUAUCUGUUGUCGGUCGCUUGUCCUUGUCCUUCUCAACCUCCAAGUGUCGUUCGUCUGCUUGAGGUUGAAAUCGGCCUACAUUCAAGAGAUGUAAGCAUACACGCAGUAUAUUCCACCACGAGCCUUUCUAGAUCAUUACUCCAAAUCCUAAGAUUGAGUAUUUCUUUUUAACACUUGUUAGGAUUAGGCAAUAGUAUAUAAUUGAAACCAAGAGAUCUCUGUUCAACACAUGUCCAAUGCUUCCUCUGCUUACAUCAAGUGACCAUUUUACUUCCUCUGGUUCACAAUAUAUCUGGAUUGAUGUGCAACUUUGAAGUUCUAGGAUGUCAGAUUAUUUCCUUUCUUUGUAGUGUUACAAUAUUGUUUCAUUUGGCCUAUUGUUUUUAUCUUGACCUUAAUUUGUAUAAACUUCAGCUUCCAUGACAUUGUUAUGUUUAUUUUCCA
This is a non-coding RNA of Cicer arietinum (chickpea), 1626 nucleotides long. Lineage: Eukaryota; Viridiplantae; Streptophyta; Magnoliopsida; Fabales; Fabaceae. The record is from RefSeq and is a predicted model, not a curated record.